AUUGAACGCUGGCGGCAUGCCUUACACAUGCAAGUCGAACGGCAGCACGGGUGCUUGCACCUGGUGGCGAGUGGCGAACGGGUGAGUAAUACAUCGGAACAUGUCCUGUAGUGGGGGAUAGCCCGGCGAAAGCCGGAUUAAUACCGCAUACGAUCUACGGAUGAAAGCGGGGGACCUUCGGGCCUCGCGCUAUAGGGUUGGCCGAUGGCUGAUUAGCUAGUUGGUGGGGUAAAGGCCUACCGAGGCGACGAUCAGUAGCUGGUCUGAGAGGACGACCAGCCACACUGGGACUGAGACACGGCCCAGACUCCUACGGGAGGCAGCAGUGGGGAAUUUUGGACAAUGGGCGAAAGCCUGAUCCAGCAAUGCCGCGUGUGUGAAGAAGGCCUUCGGGUUGUAAAGCACUUUUGUCCGGAAAGAAAUCCUUGGCUCUAAUACAGUCGGGGGAUGACGGUACCGGAAGAAUAAGCACCGGCUAACUACGUG
This 486-nucleotide ribosomal RNA is filed under the name uncultured bacterium. RNAcentral describes it as "partial 16S ribosomal RNA". It matches the Rfam family "Bacterial small subunit ribosomal RNA", at positions 30 to 507 of the family's 1533-position model. The record is from RNAcentral.